GACAGAGGAUGCAAACGUUGUUCGGAUUUACUGGGCGUAAAGCGCGUGUAGGCGGCUUUGCAAGUCGGAUGUGAAAUCCCACGGCUCAACCGUGGAAGUGCAUCCGAAACUGCAUCGCUGGAGUCUCGGAGAGGAAGGUGGAAUGCUUGGUGUAGAGGUGAAAUUCGUAGAUAUCAAGCAGAACACCUGCGGCGAAGGCGGCCUUCUGGACGACGACUGACGCUGAGACGCGAAAGCGUGGGGAGCAAACAGG
This 253-nucleotide ribosomal RNA is filed under the name uncultured bacterium. RNAcentral describes it as "partial 16S ribosomal RNA". It matches the Rfam family "Bacterial small subunit ribosomal RNA", at positions 524 to 776 of the family's 1533-position model. The record is from RNAcentral.